This 468-nucleotide ribosomal RNA is filed under the name uncultured bacterium. RNAcentral's name for it is "partial 16S ribosomal RNA". It matches the Rfam family "Bacterial small subunit ribosomal RNA", at positions 28 to 507 of the family's 1533-position model. The record is from RNAcentral.
GACGAACGCUGGCGGCGUGCUUAACACAUGCAAGUCGAACGGAAAGGCCCUGCUUUUGUGGGGUGCUCGAGUGGCGAACGGGUGAGUAACACGUGAGUAACCUGCCCUUGACUUUGGGAUAACUUCAGGAAACUGGGGCUAAUACCGGAUAGGAGCUCCUGCUGCAUGGUGGGGGUUGGAAAGUUUCGGCGGUUGGGGAUGGACUCGCGGCUUAUCAGCUUGUUGGUGGGGUAGUGGCUUACCAAGGCUUUGACGGGUAGCCGGCCUGAGAGGGGGACCGGCCACAUUGGGACUGAGAUACGGCACAGACUCCUACGGGAGGCAGCAGUGGGGAAUAUUGCACAAUGGGCGGAAGCCUGAUGCAGCAACGCCGCGUGCGGGAUGACGGCCUUCGGGUUGUAAACCGCUUUCGCCUGUGACGAAGCGUGAGUGACGGUAAUGGGUAAAGAAGCACCGGCUAACUACGUG